CGUUAGCGGCGGACGGGUGAGUAACACGUGGGUAACCUACCUAUAAGACUGGGAUAACUUCGGGAAACCGGAGCUAAUACCGGAUAAUAUUUCGAACCGCAUGGUUCGAUAGUGAAAGAUGGUUUUGCUAUCACUUAUAGAUGGACCUGCGCCGUAUUAGCUAGUUGGUAAGGUAACGGCUUACCAAGGCGACGAUACGUAGCCGACCUGAGAGGGUGAUCGGCCACACUGGAACUGAGACACGGUCCAGAAUCCUACGGGAGGCAGCAGCA
This 272-nucleotide ribosomal RNA is filed under the name uncultured Staphylococcus sp. RNAcentral's name for it is "partial 16S ribosomal RNA". It matches the Rfam family "Bacterial small subunit ribosomal RNA", at positions 90 to 355 of the family's 1533-position model. The record is from RNAcentral. Lineage: Bacteria; Bacillati; Bacillota; Bacilli; Caryophanales; Staphylococcaceae.